GUGCCUAACACAUGCAAGUCGAACGAGAAAGUGGAGCAAUCCAUGAGUAAAGUGGCGACCGGGUGAGUAACACGUGACUACCUACCCUCGAGUGGGGAAUAACCUAGGGAAACCUGGGCUAAUACCGCAUAAUGUCUUCGGACCAAAGGAGCAAUUCGCUGGAGGAGGGGGUCGCGGCCGAUUAGCUAGUUGGCGGGGUAACGGCCCACCAAGGCAAUGAUCGGUAGCCGGCCUGAGAGGGCGCACGGCCACACUGGAACUGAAACACGGUCCAG
Molecule: ribosomal RNA, 275 nt
Filed under: uncultured bacterium
Lineage: Bacteria
Description: partial 16S ribosomal RNA
Rfam family: Bacterial small subunit ribosomal RNA
Source: RNAcentral